Molecule: ribosomal RNA, 396 nt
Filed under: uncultured bacterium
Lineage: Bacteria
Description: bacterial SSU rRNA
Rfam family: Bacterial small subunit ribosomal RNA
Source: RNAcentral
AAUGAACGCUGGCGGCGCGCCUAAUACAUGCAAGUCGAGCGAGAAGACGUAGCAAUACGUUUGUAAAGCGGCGAACGGGUGAGGAAUACAUGGGUAACCUACCCUAGAGUGGGGAAUAACUAGCCGAAAGGUUAGCUAAUACCGCGUACGCUCCUUGGACUUCGGUUCAGGGAGGAAAGCGAUGCCGAGGGUAUCGCGCUCUUGGAUGGGCUCAUGUCCUAUCAGCUUGNGGUGAGGUAACGGCUCACCAAGGCUUCGACGGGUAGCUGGUCUGAGAGGACGAUCAGCCACACUGGCACUGCGACACGGGCCAGACUCCUACGGGAGGCAGCAGUAAGGAAUAUUGCGCAAUGGGCGAAAGCCUGACGCAGCGACGCCGCGUGGGGGAUGAAGGCC